RNAcentral lists this ribosomal RNA (1533 nucleotides) under Salmonella enterica subsp. enterica. RNAcentral describes it as "bacterial SSU rRNA". It matches the Rfam family "Bacterial small subunit ribosomal RNA". Lineage: Bacteria; Pseudomonadati; Pseudomonadota; Gammaproteobacteria; Enterobacterales; Enterobacteriaceae. The record is from RNAcentral.
AGAGUUUGAUCAUGGCUCAGAUUGAACGCUGGCGGCAGGCCUAACACAUGCAAGUCGAACGGUAACAGGAAGCAGCUUGCUGCUUCGCUGACGAGUGGCGGACGGGUGAGUAAUGUCUGGGAAACUGCCUGAUGGAGGGGGAUAACUACUGGAAACGGUGGCUAAUACCGCAUAACGUCGCAAGACCAAAGAGGGGGGACCUUCGGGCCUCUUGCCAUCAGAUGUGCCCAGAUGGGAUUAGCUUGGUUGGUGAGGUAACGGCUCACCAAGGCGACGAUCCCUAGCUGGUCUGAGAGGAUGACCAGCCACACUGGAACUGAGACACGGUCCAGACUCCUACGGGAGGCAGCAGUGGGGAAUAUUGCACAAUGGGCGCAAGCCUGAUGCAGCCAUGCCGCGUGUAUGAAGAAGGCCUUCGGGUUGUAAAGUACUUUCAGCGGGGAGGAAGGUGUUGUGGUUAAUAACCGCAGCAAUUGACGUUACCCGCAGAAGAAGCACCGGCUACUCCGUGCCAGCAGCCGCGGUAAUACGGAGGGUGCAAGCGUUAAUCGGAAUUACUGGGCGUAAAGCGCACGCAGGCGGUCUGUCAAGUCGGAUGUGAAAUCCCCGGGCUCAACCUGGGAACUGCAUUCGAAACUGGCAGGCUUGAGUCUUGUAGAGGGGGGUAGAAUUCCAGGUGUAGCGGUGAAAUGCGUAGAGAUCUGGAGGAAUACCGGUGGCGAAGGCGGCCCCCUGGACAAAGACUGACGCUCAGGUGCGAAAGCGUGGGGAGCAAACAGGAUUAGAUACCCUGGUAGUCCACGCCCGUAAACGAUGUCUACUUGGAGGUUGUGCCCUUGAGGCGUGGCUUCCGGAGCUAACGCGUUAAGUAGACCGCCUGGGGAGUACGGCCGCAAGGUUAAAACUCAAAUGAAUUGACGGGGGCCCGCACAAGCGGUGGAGCAUGUGGUUUAAUUCGAUGCAACGCGAAGAACCUUACCUGGUCUUGACAUCCACAGAAGAAUCCAGAGAUGGAUUUGUGCCUUAGGGAACUGUGAGACAGGUGCUGCAUGGCUGUCGUCAGCUCGUGUUGUGAAAUGUUGGGUUAAGUCCCGCAACGAGCGCAACCCUUAUCCUUUGUUGCCAGCGAUUAGGUCGGGAACUCAAAGGAGACUGCCAGUGAUAAACUGGAGGAAGGUGGGGGAUGACGUCAAGUCAUCAUGGCCCUUACGACCAGGGCUACACACGUGCUACAAUGGCGCAUACAAAGAGAAGCGACCUCGCGAGAGCAAGCGGACCUCAUAAAGUGCGUCGUAGUCCGGAUUGGAGUCUGCAACUCGACUCCAUGAAGUCGGAAUCGCUAGUAAUCGUGGAUCAGAAUGCCACGGUGAAUACGUUCCCGGGCCUUGUACACACCGCCCGUCACACCAUGGGAGUGGGUUGCAAAAGAAGUAGGUAGCUUAACCUUCGGGAGGGCGCUUACCACUUUGUGAUUCAUGACUGGGGUGAAGUCGUAACAAGGUAACCGUAGGGGAACCUGCGGUUGGAUCACCU